This is a long non-coding RNA of Lolium rigidum, 449 nucleotides long. RefSeq lists it as uncharacterized. The transcript is spliced from 3 exons. NCBI's taxonomy places the organism in Eukaryota, Viridiplantae, Streptophyta, Magnoliopsida, Poales, Poaceae. The record is from RefSeq and is a predicted model, not a curated record.
ACCUGGGGGCAAGCAACACGCAGCAAGCUGCUUCUCCCAUGUGUCUCAUUCUCCCUUGUAUGCCGAUUAAAAAAGAGAAGCAGCCUGCAGCGGGCCACCGGCUCGACCGCGGCAAGACGGACCUGGAGGAGGCGCUUCCCUAAUGGUGUAAUCUGCUUCAAUCGGCUCGAGUGCAGCAACCCGCUUGGGCCAGCUCGAGUCCGACAGCCCGUAGAUGGAUGAGGCGGACGCCACAGACUUGGAGGUUGCAGGUGCGCAGUGGAGUCACCGUUCCUUGCCGUUGUCUGUCCGCAAGGGAGCCACUCCUUGAUGGACUGCAGUUCGCUGACGAAGCUACAGAUCCACAGGAGAAAUGAUCAGGAUGAAGAAGCAGAGUACACUACAAAGCAUGAACUGGAGAUUUCAGAUGGACGGUGCCUCAGAGGUUUCCUCUGGAAACAUCACUCGGA